UAUGUGAUCGUCUCUUGCAUAUCAAUAAGCGGAGGAAAAGAAACUAACAAGGAUUCCCCUAGUAACGGCGAGUGAAGCGGGAAGAGCUCAAAUUUGAAAUCUUAAAGGGUUUCCCUUUACGAAUUGUAGUUUAAAGAAGUGUUUUCUGUUGAGGUUUUGGUAAAAGUUCUUUGGAAUAGGACAUCAUAGAGGGUGAGGAUCCCGUAUUUGACCUUUACUUUCAACUUUGUGAUACACUUUCAAAGAGUCGGAUUGUUUAGGAAUGCAGUCCAAAAUGGGUGGUAAAUUUCAUCUAAAGCUAAAUAUUGGCGAGAGACCGAUAGCGAACAAGUACCGUGAGGGAAAGAUGAAAAGAACUUUGAAAAGAGAGUUAAACAGUACGUGAAAUUGUCAAAAGGGAAGCGUUUGACACCAGUGUUGUUUUUCUGAAAAUCAAUUAAAGAACUGUUUAUGCUAAGUUGUUUAGACUUUAUCAGCUAUCUGUUUAGUUUUGAGCUUUUCUUUAAUGCACUUUUCAGUUAACAAGUCAACAUCAAUUUCUUUUGCUGUAAAAAAGCUUGAGGAAGGUGGCUUGAGAUUCGUCUUAAGUGUUUAUAGCCUCUUGCCUAUGCAGUCGGAGAGAUUGAGGUCUGCAGCGUAGAUCCUUCGGGGCUAAAUGCAUUUGUGCUAAGAUUAUAGCAUUUUAUAGACAACUUGUUGACUAUGAUUUGUCUUGUAGCUUACUCGCUUAUGUUAUUUUACCUACGCUUAGGAUGUUGAGCGCAUGUCUCUCUCU
Molecule: ribosomal RNA, 775 nt
Filed under: uncultured Neocallimastigales
Lineage: Eukaryota; Fungi; Neocallimastigomycota; Neocallimastigomycetes; Neocallimastigales
Description: partial large subunit ribosomal RNA
Rfam family: Eukaryotic large subunit ribosomal RNA
Source: RNAcentral